GAUCUCUGUCAUAUUUUCCACAACUUAUGCGAACCUGCAUUCAUCCCCACAUAGUUUUUUUUAAAAAAAAUGAAGAGCAGAUCGUUUAUUUUAAAAUCCACAUUCUUCUUCGGCGCAGUGUGCGCGACUGAAUAAGCAAAAGCAGGUCCUGCUUCCCACUUUUUAAGUGCUUUCGGGUAAACACACUCACAUGCAGUAAGCAUGGUUGUCCAGUUACACAACAACAGCGCAGAGCGCUCACGAACCUGCUACCCCCAUACUUACAUAGGCGUCAUCUUAGAAACAGGAGGAGAUGUUCGCCGGGCACUCAGAGAGCCAGCAGUCUUAAAAGACCUUGUCACCGAGGACAGCCUCACCUCUGAAAUCUUGAGCUUUGAAAUUCCACUCUGUGCCCGACCUUGCACUCUGCUACUCUCCUCCACAUCAUCCUCCCAAGCUUCAGGCUUCCAAGCAUCUGAGCCUCCAUCCUCCCACCUUGGAACCCCUGGGACUCCGCCUUUAGGAUGCUGUAAGGAUGCUCUCAUCCUUAGGAGCACCCCUUGCCCCUUGACUUGCUCAAGCGACAACACCUCCGUCUUCGCUCCUCCAUCUGUUUUCUUUGUAUGACUGCAGAAAAAUCACAGCCUCCUGCAGCCUGGUGCUAACUCAGGGCUUGAGUUUCAAACCUCAGCUGGAUGCUCAAGCUCAUCAGAAAUUCUUUUGAGCCAUCCUCGCUGGUUCUUUGAGAAUUUACAUGACCUAAGGCAUGUGGGACCAAGAGGUAGGAUCAAACUAUCUAAUUAAAAUGUACUUAAAAGCUCAUUUUUGUUU
This 810-nucleotide long non-coding RNA is filed under the name Chinchilla lanigera (long-tailed chinchilla). RNAcentral describes it as "lncRNA (ENSCLAG00000027650.1)". Lineage: Eukaryota; Metazoa; Chordata; Mammalia; Rodentia; Chinchillidae. The record is from RNAcentral.